GAUGAACGCUGGCGGCGUGCUUAACACAUGCAAGUCGAACGAUGAAGCCCAGCUUGCUGGGUGGAUUAGUGGCGAACGGGUGAGUAACACGUGAGUAACCUGCCCUUAACUCUGGGAUAAGCCUGGGAAACUGGGUCUAAUACCGGAUAGGAGCGUCCACCGCAUGGUGGGUGUUGGAAAGAUUUAUCGGUUUUGGAUGGACUCGCGGCCUAUCAGCUUGUUGGUGAGGUAAUGGCUCACCAAGGCGACGACGGGUAGCCGGCCUGAGAGGGUGACCGGCCACACUGGGACUGAGACACGGCCCAGACUCCUACGGGAGGCAGCAGUGGGGGAUAUUGCACAAUGGGCGCAAGCCUGAUGCAGCGACGCCGCGUGAGGGAUGACGGCCUUCGGGUUGUAAACCUCUUUCAGUAGGGAAGAAGCGAAAGUGACGGUACCUGCAGAAGAAGCACCGGCUAACUACGUG
RNAcentral lists this ribosomal RNA (466 nucleotides) under uncultured bacterium. Its description in RNAcentral is "partial 16S ribosomal RNA". It matches the Rfam family "Bacterial small subunit ribosomal RNA", at positions 28 to 507 of the family's 1533-position model. The record is from RNAcentral.